GUCGUCUGCAAAGAGUCUUAUUUGGCUGUGUUUUAGAUAGUCCGGUAGGUCGUUUAUAUAUAUGAGAAAGAGUAUUGGACCUGGUACAGUCCCCUGAGGAACACCUGAUGUUACUGGAAUUAUGUUGGAAGUUGUGUUUUCGAGGAGUACUCACAGUUUGGGUUCUAUUGGAGAGGAAUGAAUCGAUCCAAUGAAUUGCUUGAUCAGAGAUGCCAUAGUGUUUUAAUUUGUAAAGAAGGCGUUUGUGUGGCACUUUAUCAAACGCUUUCGCAAAGUCCAUGAUUACUAGAUCAGUUUGGAUAUUUUUGUCGUUGCUUUGAGCAAGUUGGUGUACAAGAGAAAUUACUUGUGAUUCACAUGAUCUUUUAGAUCUGAAGCCAUGUUGUAGUUCAUACAAUAUUUUGUUUGUUUCUAGGUGUUUCAUCAUGUUACUUGCUAAUAUAUGUUCUAGUAAUUUACAUGAGAUGCAGGUAAGUGAUAUUGGUCUGUAAUUUCCAGGAUGAUGUUUGUCUCCUUUUUUAAAUACUGGUGUAACGUUAGCAUGGUUCCAGUCUGAAGGUACUUUGCCUGUCCCAAGAGAUUUGUUGAAGAUGAUAGUAAGAAUGUAUUAAGUUAUUUCAAUGUUUUCUUUAAGUAUUUUGCCAGCGAUAGUAUCUAGACUUGUAGCUUUGUUAGUGUUUAUAUUUUUUAUUAGUUUUAUAUAUACUCCUUCUCUACUGAUGUUUAUUUUUUCCAUUUUAGGGUGUGCACCAGGUUCUUUGGUUGGUAUUUCUAUAUUUUUUUCAGAUGUGAAAGCUGAUUGGAAUUGCUUAUUAAGGAUGUUUGCUUUCUCAGAGGGGUUUGUAUGAAGGGUGUUGAAGACCGUACAUUGACCUAUAAUGGUUUACUUUUAUAAAUUGUUAUUUGGAUGGAAAGUUGUCUCGUUGGCACUCACACCACAUCUUCCUAUAUCUAUAAAUUUCGUAUGGUGUACCGUAUAAAAUCGGAUCACAAAAACAAUAACCCAAAGGGUAAUGGAGACUAGUUAAAGAGCUUUUCUUUCUGUCAAAAAAAUGUGCAGAGGAGGGAUUAGUUCAAACUUGUUGGACAAAGUAAAAGAAAAGCAAAAAAAAAAGUAAAAAGGCAACUACCCAUAAGAGUGAAAAUCUUCCCCCAGCACCGCCCAGGCAUGUCAUUGGGGAAUAUUAUAGCUCAAACUAAUGCUAAGGGUGUCUACUACAUGCCUGAAUCUUUAUUUAUACUAAAAAAUGUGAUCGUAGGCCAAAAAGAAUAUUUAAUCGACCCCUACCCCCCAAUUUCGAUAGUCAAAGAGACGCCAAUAUUGACCACACCAACCCCGGAUCUUUUCACCCUAGGGACCAAACUGAGCAUAUUAUUGGUCUAUACAAGGUGUCAUUUUCAUUGUUAAGGCCUUGGCUAACUUUAAGAUGUGUUUUCCAACAUUAUUAGGUGCUUAAUU
RNAcentral lists this long non-coding RNA (1459 nucleotides) under Mytilus galloprovincialis (Mediterranean mussel). Lineage: Eukaryota; Metazoa; Mollusca; Bivalvia; Mytilida; Mytilidae. The record is from RNAcentral.